This 468-nucleotide ribosomal RNA is filed under the name uncultured bacterium. RNAcentral describes it as "partial 16S ribosomal RNA". It matches the Rfam family "Bacterial small subunit ribosomal RNA", at positions 28 to 507 of the family's 1533-position model. The record is from RNAcentral.
GACGAACGCUGGCGGCGUGCUUAACACAUGCAAGUCGAACGGAAAGGCCCUGCUUUUGUGGGGUGCUCGAGUGGCGAACGGGUGAGUAACACGUGAGUAACCUGCCCUUGACUUUGGGAUAACUUCAGGAAACUGGGGCUAAUACCGGAUAGGAGCUCCUGCUGCAUGGUGGGAGUUGGAAAGUUUCGGCGGUUGGGGAUGGACUCGCGGCUUAUCAGCUUGUUGGUGGGGUAGUGGCUUACCAAGGCUUUGACGGGUAACCGGCCUGAGAGGGUGACCGGCCACAUUGGGACUGAGAUACGGCCCAGACUCCUACGGGAGGCAGCAGUGGGGAAUAUUGCACAAUGGGCGGAAGCCUGAUGCAGCAACGCCGCGUGCGGGAUGACGGCCUUCGGGUUGUAAACCGCUUUCGCCUGUGACGAAGCGUGAGUGACGGUAAUGGGUAAAGAAGCACCGGCUAACUACGUG